GAUGAACGCUGGCGGCGUGCCUAAUACAUGCCAGUCGAGCGAACGGACGAGAAGCUUGCUUCCCUGAUGUUAGCGGCGGACGGGUGAGUAACACGUGGAUAACCUACCUAUAAGACUGGGAUAACUUCGGGAAACCGGAGCUAAUACCGGAUAAUAUUUUGAACCGCAUGGUUCAAAAGUGAAAGACGGUCUUGCUGUCACUUAUAGAUGGAUCCGCGCUGCAUUAGCUAGUUGGUAAGGUAACGGCUUACCAAGGCAACGAUGCAUAGCCGACCUGAGAGGGUGAUCGGCCACACUGGAACUGAGACACGGUCCAGACUCCUACGGGAGGCAGCAGUAGGGAAUCUUCCGCAAUGGGCGAAAGCCUGACGGAGCAACGCCGCGUGAGUGAUGAAGGUCUUCGGAUCGUAAAACUCUGUUAUUAGGGAAGAACAUAUGUGUAAGUAACUGUGCACAUCUUGACGGUACCUAAUCAGAAAGCCACGGCUAACUACGUG
Molecule: ribosomal RNA, 497 nt
Filed under: uncultured bacterium
Lineage: Bacteria
Description: partial 16S ribosomal RNA
Rfam family: Bacterial small subunit ribosomal RNA
Source: RNAcentral